RNAcentral lists this ribosomal RNA (200 nucleotides) under uncultured archaeon. RNAcentral describes it as "partial 16S ribosomal RNA". It matches the Rfam family "Archaeal small subunit ribosomal RNA", at positions 526 to 726 of the family's 1478-position model. The record is from RNAcentral.
UUGCUGUGUAAGCCAUUGGGAAAUCGACGCGCUCAACGCGUCGACGUCCGGUGGAAACUGCACGGCUUGGGGCCGAGAGACUCGACGGGUACGUCCGGGGUAGGAGUGAAAUCCUAUAAUCCUGGACGGACCACCAAUGGGGAAACCACGUCGAGAGACCGGACCCGACAGUGAGGGACGAAAGCCAGGCUCUCGAACCG